GCCGGGUGUGGUGGCAAGCCUGUAAUCCCAGGGUCUCAGGAGGCUGAGGCAGGAGGAUCGAAAGUUCAUAGCCAGCCUCAGCAAAAAAUGAGGCACUAAGCAACUCAGUGAGAUCCUGUCUCUA
RNAcentral lists this small RNA (124 nucleotides) under Marmota monax (woodchuck). The record is from RNAcentral. Lineage: Eukaryota; Metazoa; Chordata; Mammalia; Rodentia; Sciuridae.